This is a long non-coding RNA of Dermacentor silvarum, 4586 nucleotides long. RefSeq lists it as uncharacterized. Lineage: Eukaryota; Metazoa; Arthropoda; Arachnida; Ixodida; Ixodidae. The record is from RefSeq and is a predicted model, not a curated record. The transcript has 4 exons.
AUUCCUGCAUGUUUUGAGUUGAUUGCUUCUGGUUCAGCAGCCAAUGCGAGGAAAUCCCAAAUGAGCUACUUGCAAUAAUAGAGACAUUGAGGCUAGAGUAGGCUGCUGGAGCAUCCUGUUUCUGCACAUGUUCUUGAAAUACAUAGGGGCCCUAGCAAAAAUUUCAAUAAAAAAACUAAUAGCCUAAUAGCUUAUUGACACUAAUACAGUCUAUUAGGUCUAUUAGUAUAAUAGGUCUAUUAGUCCUAUUAGUGUUAGUGUAAUAGGUCUAUUGGUGUGAUAGAAAAUGUUGCAAUGCGCCAGAUACAGAAUGAAAAACAGGUAAAAUUGCUAGAAGUAUUCAUAAGCACAGCAUGUAUUUCUACAGAUUCCUCUUUCGAGAUCUUCGUCACGUCAGCAAUCUUGAUUGAGAGCUUUUCGUUGACUUCGACCAAAGGGACAUACUUUUGAGGAAGUGGUUAAAAAAAACCUGGGCACAUAAAUACAAACAUAUAGAAACAGUUAAAAGCAGGGGUGCUAGUUCUACCACAAAACGUUUAAGCAGGCUAUAUUUGCUUCCAAAUUAGAAUAAUGGGGCUCCACAAUUACCAAACUAAUUUUAGGACGGUGUGAUAUAUGCUAGCUCAAAAUGUUUAUCAUAAUAAAAAAUGUCGCCACUGACAUGACAGGACAAUUAUAAAGCACACAAAAUCAACAUAAGAUGUGUGUUCCAUCGAAACUAUAGGCAGAUGUAAGGAGCUCUACACAGAAAUCUUGCACAGCGUUGUUGGAAACAGGCAUGUCAUUGCUGCGACGCACACAGCAAUCGGCCCGACGGCACUGUACAGAAAUACUUACGUCCACCGUCAGGAUAUAUAUAAAAAAAAACACUUCAUACUGUACUAUAGAAGCAUAAAUAAGAAGUAUAAUUACCUCGAAAUGGUAAAUUGGCGCCGAGGAAAAUGCUGCACAUCGAUGCAUGCUGAUAGAUCCACAAAGCCGCGAAGGACAGGGGUUAAACAGUUGCCUUGCUUUGUUUUGAAGUUGCAACAGCAGCCAUAGAUAACACUAUCCAAAUAUACUACUGCACGAAUGAGAUUGCGCAGACGUUAACACCAAGGGUUCCUUAAAAACAUAUUGUUCAUUCACUAACAUGCUCGCACGCCUCGCGUGACGCUUCGCCGUGACAUGGCAGCCGCCAUUGAACACGUGGUGUGCGCAACUACGGCCGACUACGGUCGCAGUUUUACAUCCUUCUAGCCCGCCGUGUUCCCUUCUCUGUGAUACUGCUCUUCGAUGUCAAUAAAUAUUACGGCCUUUUAUAUGCGGUAUCAAGUUAGCAAUCUACGCAACAAGUUUAACAUUUACUUUAUGCGCACUUCAACAGAAAAUACGACACUGACGAAAUUUCAGCGGCAAACAAAUAUGGUCGCUGCUAUCACCGUAGCUGCUAUUGCACCGUCGUUCGUAAGCUGACCGGGUACCGCGAUUCUGCUUUGCAGAUUACGGCUGGUUUGUCGUUUUUUUUCUUUUUCUUUUUUUCUUGGGAAAGUAUUCGCUGUGCUGUAAAUACUAGUGGUUUCCUCAACGACUCAUCGCGACGAGGCUCAGUGAAGCAAAAUUGACAAGACCAUGUAGGCGCGCACGUGGCGUUUGUGUAUGUUGCUGAAAGAUGGCCAGUUUCACUAUCUUAGUGUGCUGAAACUAAUGCAAACGUGCGAACGCAAUCUGCUGCACAGUUGUACAGCAGAAUUUUUAAUUAUUCAGUGAUUAAUUAGAAACACCUCUUCAUGCAGGCAAGUGGUCCGCUAGUCUAAUUUUUCAUCAACUUUCACCAGCAAACAAGAGCUGCAGAAUCCAGCAAUACAUGUUGUAUCAGUCCAGCAACAAUCGGUAUAAGGCCAAUGGGACCUAUUAGUCUAAUAGAGAAACUAGUAGACAUGCAACACUGUUUGUAUAAGACUAAUAAGUCUAAUACACAGGGCCUAUUGGUCUUAUAGGUAAAUCAGUACGACUAAUAGAAAUUUCUAUUGGUCUAAUACAAAACUUAUACAAAUAAUACAAAACUGUAUUAGACUAAUAAGAACUUCUAUUAGAAUUUCUACUAGGGGGAUAGUGGCAGGAUGCUUUCUUUUUAUUUAAGCGAACUACAAUUUCUGUUAUAUAUAAUAGAGACAUUGAGGCUAGAGUAGGCUACUGGAGCAUCCUGUUUCUGCACAUGUUCUUGAAAUACAUAGGGGGUACUGGCAAGGUGCUUUCUUUUUAUUUAAGUGAACUACAAUUUCUGUUAUAUAUAAUAGAGACAUUGAGGCUAGAGUAGGCUACUGGAGCAUCCUGUUUCUGCACAUGUUCUUGAAAUACAUAGGGGGUACUGGCAAGGUGCUUUCUUUUUAUUUAAGUGAACUACAAUUUCUGUUAUAUAUAAUAGAGACAUUGAGGCUAGAGUAGGCUACUGGAGCAUCCUGUUUCUGCACAUGUUCUUGAAAUACAUAGGGGGUACUGGCAAGGUGCUUUCUUUUUAUUUAAGUGAACUACAAUUUCUGUUAUAUAUAAUAGAGACAUUGAGGCUAGAGUAGGCUACUGGAGCAUCCUGUUUCUGCAGAUGUUCUUGAAAUACAUAGGGGGUACUGGCAAGGUGCUUUCUUUUUAUUUAAGUGAACUACAAUUUCUGUUAUAUAUAAUAGAGACAUUGAGGCUAGAGUAGGCUACUGGAGCAUCCUGUUUCUGCACAUGUUCUUGAAAUACAUAGGGGGUACUGGCAAGGUGCUUUCUUUUUAUUUAAGUGAACUACAAUUUCUGUUAUAUAUAAUAGAGACAUUGAGGCUAGAGUAGGCUACUGGAGCAUCCUGUUUCUGCACAUGUUCUUGAAAUACAUAGGGGGUACUGGCAAGGUGCUUUCUUUUUAUUUAAGUGAACUACAAUUUCUGUUAUAUAUAAUAGAGACAUUGAGGCUAGAGUAGGCUACUGGAGCAUCCUGUUUCUGCACAUGUUCUUGAAAUACAUAGGGGGUACUGGCAAGGUGCUUUCUUUUUAUUUAAGUGAACUACAAUUUCUGUUAUAUAUAAUAGAGACAUUGAGGCUAGAGUAGGCUACUGGAGCAUCCUGUUUCUGCACAUGUUCUUGAAAUACAUAGGGGGUACUGGCAAGGUGCUUUCUUUUUAUUUAAGUGAACUACAAUUUCUGUUAUAUAUAAUAGAGACAUUGAGGCUAGAGUAGGCUACUGGAGCAUCCUGUUUCUGCAGAUGUUCUUGCAAUACAUAGGGGGUACUGGCAAGGUGCUUUCUUUUUAUUUAAGCGAACUACAAUUUCUGUUAUGUAUAAUAGAGACAUUGAGGCUAGAGUAGGCUACUGGAGCAUCCUGUUUCUGCACAUGUUCUUGAAAUACAUAGGGGGUACUGGCAAGGUGCUUUCUUUUUAUUUAAGUGAACUACAAUUUCUGUUAUAUAUAAUAGAGACAUUGAGGCUAGAGUAGGCUACUGGAGCAUCCUGUUUCUGCACAUGUUCUUGAAAUACAUAGGGGGUACUGGCAAGGUGCUUUCUUUUUAUUUAAGUGAACUACAAUUUCUGUUAUAUAUAAUAGAGACAUUGAGGCUAGAGUAGGCUACUGGAGCAUCCUGUUUCUGCACAUGUUCUUGCAAUACAUAGGGGGUACUGGCAAGGUGCUUUCUUUUUAUUUAAGUGAACUACAAUUUCUGUUAUAUAUAAUAGAGACAUUGAGGCUAGAGUAGGCUACUGGAGCAUCCUGUUUCUGCACAUGUUCUUGAAAUACAUGGGUUCUGGCAGGAUGCUUUCUUUUUAUUUAAGUGAACUACAAUUUCUGUUAAGAUUUUGCCAUGUUCCAAUUCAAUCUUGAGACUAGAACACAUUUACUGUGCUCUUCAUAGGUGCACCAUUUAAAUGCUUUAUUGUGAAAGGGCCUGCAGGGUUAUUGGUAGGCUCCAACGUUGCAACAAGUAGAACUGCAGCUAGAUGUACUAUGCUAGCUGAAUCUUCAGGAGUUCUAAUGGUGUGGGUGGGACAGAUGUGACAUCAGGUUUGGCUUCCACCUAUGGCGAGUUGUAUUUUCAUCCACUUUCACUUUUUUAUUUUUUAUUUUAUUUUCAAUACUGUGAGCCCUUUCGGGCUGUUACAGGGUGGGAUAAUUCACAACACUAAGAGCGAAUAUACAAACAGCGUAACAAAAGUAACACAAUGCAAACUGAAGGCAAAAAUGUAUAAACAGCAUACAGUAGCAUAAACAAAACAGCAGCAGAAACAGCGCAGUACAACGCCAAAUAACAUUGAAUUUAAACUUUAAACAUAUAAUGAUUCUAGGUUUCUUUCAAAACUCGCAAGCGAAUUCAUACCGUCAAAUAUUUCUGAGUUAACUUUGUUCCACUCUUCUAUUGUUUUGACCAGAAACGAAUGCUUGUAAACAUCAACUCUAGGCACAUAAGGUCUAACAACGUAUAGGUUAUUAUUAUUUGUGCAUUUCGAUUAAACAUUAGAGUUAAUUUCCCAUUUACUUUCUCGGGCCUCAUGGCCUGUAGGCUUAAGGUUGUUUUGACUAACAAAAAUUGUCCCCAUAUAUAAAGAAACAGUGGCGUAGCCAGAAAUUUUGUUGGAGG